Molecule: ribosomal RNA, 225 nt
Filed under: Staphylococcus aureus
Lineage: Bacteria; Bacillati; Bacillota; Bacilli; Caryophanales; Staphylococcaceae
Description: partial 23S ribosomal RNA
Rfam family: Bacterial large subunit ribosomal RNA
Source: RNAcentral
GACAUACCUCUGGUGUACCAGUUGUCGUGCCAACGGCAUAGCUGGGUAGCUAUGUGUGGACGGGAUAAGUGCUGAAAGCAUCUAAGCAUGAAGCCCCCCUCAAGAUGAGAUUUCCCAACUUCGGUUAUAAGAUCCCUCAAAGAUGAUGAGGUUAAUAGGUUCGAGGUGGAAGCAUGGUGACAUGUGGAGCUGACGAAUACUAAUCGAUCGAAGACUUAAUCAAAA